GGUCAGGACGAACGCUGGCGGCGUGCCUAACACAUGCAAGUCGAGCGAGGAGAUCCUUCGGGAUGAUCCUAGCGGCGGACGGGUGAGUAACACGUGGGCAACCUGCCUCAUAGAGAGGAAUAGCCUUCCGAAAGGGAGAUUAAUACCUCAUAACAUUGCAGUUUCGCAUGGAACAGCAAUUAAAGGAGUAAUCCGCUAUGAGAUGGGCCCGCGGCGCAUUAGCUAGUUGGUGAGGUAACGGCUCACCAAGGCGACGAUGCGUAGCCGACCUGAGAGGGUGAUCGGCCACAUUGGGACUGAGACACGGCCCAGACUCCUACGGGAGGCAGCAGUGGGGAAUAUUGCACAAUGGGGGAAACCCUGAUGCCAGCAACGCCGCGUGAGUGAUGACGGCCUUCGGGUUGUAAAGCUCUGUCUUCAGGGACGAUAAUGACGGUACCUGAGGAGGAAGCCACGGCUAACUACGUGCCAGCCGCCGC
RNAcentral lists this ribosomal RNA (479 nucleotides) under uncultured bacterium. RNAcentral's name for it is "bacterial SSU rRNA". It matches the Rfam family "Bacterial small subunit ribosomal RNA", at positions 22 to 518 of the family's 1533-position model. The record is from RNAcentral.